Long non-coding RNA from Loxodonta africana (African savanna elephant), 1858 nucleotides. RefSeq lists it as uncharacterized. The transcript has 3 exons. The record is from RefSeq and is a predicted model, not a curated record. Lineage: Eukaryota; Metazoa; Chordata; Mammalia; Proboscidea; Elephantidae.
GGGAGUCUGAGCGGCCUCACUGAGGUGACAAGACAGGCCAGAAUGACAAGAGGGACCAACCCUGCACAAAUCUGCGGGGAGAGUGCCAGGGAGAAGGCACAGCUGGUGCACAGACUUGGAGUGUGACCUGGACCUGGAUGAGAAUUGCACGGUGCAGAUCAUCAAGGCAGACAUGCUGGAGAAGCUGGUGGCGCACCUAGUGCCCGCCUUCCUGAGGUGUGACCUCUCCUACAUCUGUACCUUUCUGGGCACCUACAGAACAGUCACCACCACCUAGCAGGUCCUGGACCUGUUCUUCUUCAGUGCCAUCUCCUUCAUCCUGGGCUAGAAGAGUACUCAGAGGAUUUCGAUCAGCUUCCGGACUUCCUCCUCCUCAAGGUGCUGAUGGCCUACGCUCAGCUGAACAUGCCAGAAUCAGUCCUGGAGUACCAUGCUUGCCUGCUCCUUACCCAGCUGGAGUACCCAGAGCCCACUGAGAUAGGGCCAGAGGGUGAGGAUGGUUGUGGAUGCAUGUGAGCACGUGUGCAGGGAUGCAGGGCUGGGCUACACAGGAAGGAGUCUCCAGAGGGUGGUGUUGGGCCAGAGCUCAGAAUAACCUCAGACCACUCAUCUGGUGGACUGCAGCCUGGGAAAACUUUCUGGAGAGGAAAAGUUCUUGGGGUUGGGCUUCUAUUAGUGGCAGUAAAAAUUUUUCAUCUUUGGAAAGGCACAAGGAAAGACCAUUGUGUUAGCGAACUUUUCUUGCAUCUCCAGUACAACUCUAACCUCCAGAACCCACUCAAGAUCCACCUUAUGUGUCCCCUCUGGAACCCGCUCCACAUUCAGGUCAAGUGUUGACUCUGGAACUCAUUCCAGGUCAAUGCCAAGUGUCGCCUUCAGAAAAUGCUCCAGAUCCAUGUCAAGUGUUGCCUCUGGAAAACGCUCCAGAUCAACAUGAAGAUUCACCCCCAGAACCUGCUCCAGGUCCACCUUCAGUGUCACCUCUGGAAUCUGCUUCAGAUACAUGUUGAGUGUUGCCUUCGAAACAUGCUCCAGAUCCACCUCUAGAAUCUCCUUUGGAACAGACUCCACAUCCAUGUCAAGUGUUGUCUCUGGCACAUGCUCCAGAUCUGUGUCAAGCAUCACCUCCAGAACACACUCCAGAGCCACAUGAAGAUUCACUUCUGGAACCCAAUCCAGAUCCACAUGAAGAUUCACCUCCAGAGCUUGCUCCAGGUCUACAUCGAGCAUUGUGUCCGAAAUCUACUCCAGACCCACAUGAAAAUUUACUCCUGAAACCUGCUCCAGAUCCACAUGAAGAUUCACUGGCGGAGUCUGCUUCAGAUCCACAUCGAGCAUCACCUCUAGAAGCUGCUUCUGAUGCACACCAACUGUAGCCUCUGGAGCAUGCUCCAUGUCCACGUGAAGAUUCACCUCUAGACCCUACUCCAGAUCCACAUCAAGCAUCACCUCAGGAUCCUCCUCUGGAUCCACAGUGAGCUUUUCCUUUAGAACCCUCUCCAGGUCCACAUCUAGCCUUGCUUCUGGAACCUGCUCCAGAUCCACCUGGAGCAUCCCCUCUGAAACCCACUCCUAAUCUACGUUGAGUGUCACCUCUAGAACCUCCUGCCGAUCCACGAAGAGCAUUGCCUCCAGAACCCUCCCCGGAUCCUCCUCAAGUGUUUCCUCUGGAGCCCACACUCAAGGCAGAACCAGCCUCAGCGCUUCCUCCAGCAUCAGGCCCUGAGCCAAAGCAGGCAUUAGCUCAGCCCCAGAGCCUUCCUGCCCCUUACCUGAGAGGGCAUCUAUUUUAUUUUUUGGCAGUUUUUUUCCUUAUUCAACAUUUACUUUAUCAUUUAGCUAAUUUUUAGAUUUGACC